RNAcentral lists this long non-coding RNA (375 nucleotides) under Mustela putorius furo (domestic ferret). Its description in RNAcentral is "lncRNA (ENSMPUG00000027557.1)". The record is from RNAcentral. Lineage: Eukaryota; Metazoa; Chordata; Mammalia; Carnivora; Mustelidae.
UGGCCAAUAGCCUGUAUUUGGAAAUUACAUAGGAUGAGGGGUUGGAGCCCAGGAUUCAGGGACUCUUCCAAAAUCAUUCUUAUCCAUUUUUUAUUUCUGUUUUGAAAAUAUGUAGGGUAGGCUCGGUUGGAAUUCCAGCUGACGAGUAGGAAUCUUGAUCUCAGAGGACAAAGGUGCGUGUGCCGACCCAUCUCACAGAGACUCAGAGUUCUCAGAAUAGCCCAGAAUAGCCCUUUCAGCAUCUGGAGCGCCAACCGUUCUGUGUGGGAGAGAGGCUGGUGGUCAGAUGUGUCACCGUCACCGAGGGCAGGUAAGUCCCAGGCAUGCCCCGGGGCCUCCACCUAUAAUAGUAGGGUGCUGACUCUCCUGUAGGAG